UUCGGCUUAGAGUUUGAUCCUGGCUCAGAUUGAACGCUGGCGGCGUGCUUAACACAUGCAAGUCGAGCGAGAAAGCUCUCUUCGGAGAGUGAGUAGAGCGGCGCACGGGUGAGUAACGCGUGGAUAAUCUGCCCUGAAGAUCGGGAUAACAGUUGGAAACGGCUGCUAAUACCGUAUAAUCUGCAUAUUUAACUUUAUGUGGGAAAGAUGGCCUCUACUUGUAAGCUAUCACUUUUGGAUGAGUCCGCGUCUCAUUAGCUUGUUGGUGGGGUAAUGGCCUACCAAGGCAACGAUGAGUAGCUGGUCUGAGAGGAUGAUCAGCCACACUGGGACUGAAACACGGCCCAGACUCCUACGGGAGGCAGCAGUGGGGAAUAUUGCGCAAUGGGGGAAGCCCUGACGCAGCGACGCCGCGUGUAGGAAGAAGGCCUUCGGGUCGUAAACUACUGUCAAGAGGGAAGAAACCGUAGAGUAUUAAUACGACUCUGCGCUGACGGUACCUCUAGAGGAAGCACCGGCUAACUCCGGCC
RNAcentral lists this ribosomal RNA (530 nucleotides) under bacterium enrichment culture clone NKeF3GL1. Its description in RNAcentral is "bacterial SSU rRNA". It matches the Rfam family "Bacterial small subunit ribosomal RNA", at positions 1 to 509 of the family's 1533-position model. The record is from RNAcentral.